AGAGUUUGAUCCUGGCUCAGGAUGAACGCUAGCGGCAGGCCUAAUACAUGCAAGUCGAACGGCAGCGCGGGUAGCAAUACCUGGCGGCGAGUGGCGCACGGGUGCGUAACACGUAUGCAACCUACCUAUAACUGGGAAAUAGCUCGGAGAAAUUCGAAUUAAUGUCCCAUAGGAUCUUAGAGUGGCAUCACUUAGAGAUU
This 200-nucleotide ribosomal RNA is filed under the name uncultured bacterium. RNAcentral's name for it is "partial 16S ribosomal RNA". It matches the Rfam family "Bacterial small subunit ribosomal RNA", at positions 8 to 202 of the family's 1533-position model. The record is from RNAcentral.